Molecule: transfer RNA, 72 nt
Organism: Pelodiscus sinensis (Chinese soft-shelled turtle)
Lineage: Eukaryota; Metazoa; Chordata; Testudines; Trionychidae
Rfam family: tRNA
About the family: Transfer RNA (tRNA) molecules are approximately 80 nucleotides in length. Their secondary structure includes four short double-helical elements and three loops (D, anti-codon, and T loops). Further hydrogen bonds mediate the characteristic L-shaped molecular structure. tRNAs have two regions of fundamental functional importance: the anti-codon, which is responsible for specific mRNA codon recognition, and the 3' end, to which the tRNAs corresponding amino acid is attached (by aminoacyl-tRNA synthetases). tRNAs cope with the degeneracy of the genetic code in two manners: having more than one tRNA (with a specific anti-codon) for a particular amino acid; and 'wobble' base-pairing, i.e. permitting non-standard base-pairing at the 3rd anti-codon position.
Source: Rfam
GUUUUUGUGGUGUAGUGUUUAUCACAUUUGCUUGACGUGCAAAAGUUCUUGGUUCAAAGCCAGGCAGAAACA